Molecule: transfer RNA, 72 nt
Filed under: Bos taurus (domestic cattle)
Lineage: Eukaryota; Metazoa; Chordata; Mammalia; Artiodactyla; Bovidae
Also listed under: 3 other names
Rfam family: tRNA
About the family: Transfer RNA (tRNA) molecules are approximately 80 nucleotides in length. Their secondary structure includes four short double-helical elements and three loops (D, anti-codon, and T loops). Further hydrogen bonds mediate the characteristic L-shaped molecular structure. tRNAs have two regions of fundamental functional importance: the anti-codon, which is responsible for specific mRNA codon recognition, and the 3' end, to which the tRNAs corresponding amino acid is attached (by aminoacyl-tRNA synthetases). tRNAs cope with the degeneracy of the genetic code in two manners: having more than one tRNA (with a specific anti-codon) for a particular amino acid; and 'wobble' base-pairing, i.e. permitting non-standard base-pairing at the 3rd anti-codon position.
Source: Rfam by way of RNAcentral
UCCCUUGUGGCUCAGCUGGUAAAGAAUCCACCUGCAAUGCGGGAGACCCAGGUUCGAUCCCUGGUUUGGGAA